RNAcentral lists this long non-coding RNA (1595 nucleotides) under Octopus sinensis (East Asian common octopus). RNAcentral's name for it is "uncharacterized LOC118766350". The record is from RNAcentral. Lineage: Eukaryota; Metazoa; Mollusca; Cephalopoda; Octopoda; Octopodidae.
AUUAUUAUUAUUAUAAUAAUUAAGAUUUUGGUGGAUGGCAGAAUUGGUAGAUAACAAGACAAAAUACCUUGUAUUUAGUUAUUUAGUAUUUACUUCUGAGUUCAAAUCCUGCUUGGAUUAACAUUGCUUUGCAUUUAUCUGAUAUUGAGAAAUUAAGUACGGGGGUUUGCUCUAAUUCACUUCCUUGCUGCUAAAUUUGUGACCUUGUGACUGUUGUAGAAAUUAAGACACAUUAGCUAGAAAAUACUUGUUUCAAAUUUUGGCACAAGGCCAGGAUUUUCAGGAGAUAGAGGAAAGUGACCUCAGUACUCAAGUAGUAUUUAUUUUAUUGACCCUGAAAGUAUAAAAUGCAAAGUCAACCUCAGCAGAAUUUGAACUCAGAACGUAAAGAUGGAUGAAAUACUACUAAACACUUUGUCUGGUGUGCUAGUGAUUCUACCAGCUUGCCACCUUAAGCAUAGCUAGAAAUAUUAGCAAAUUAAGGCAGUGAGCUGUUGAGGAAACCAAUCUCAGAUGGAGAAAAAACAAAGUUGAAUUAAAAACAUAAAAGAAUUUAUACAAGACGUUUUGUGUGUCACUCACCAAUUCUAGUCAUCCAUCAGCCUGUGUUAGAAAGCGAUGUUAGAUUACAGUAAGUCAGAAGUGAUCUCAUGAUGAUUCUACUUCACAACUUUCAAUAACAGGUUGUGGUCAUAUAACUUAUCUUUGAACUGGAAAAAAAAUCAUGAAUGUCACACAAUCUCUCUCAGUUUCCAUUCUCUAACACCCUGAAACAAGUUGUGCUGUAUAAUGACUGUGUGUGAAACUUUCUGAUUUUAAAAUAUUUUUAGAAAAACAAAUGAGAGUGGAAAAGCUUUAUCUCUCUCCUUUCUCUCAAAGAAAGUUCUACGAUUAGUAGGUGAAUAGAGCCAAUUUAGCCUUUGUAAUGGUAUUUGGUGCCAGUACCAUAGAGUGGUUGUAAUUUCCUAGCAAGUGAGUGAUGCAAGUUCAGUCCCUAGUUGAACUAUAAUACUUUCAGUCACUAAUAAUACCAGCACCUGAUAGUAUUCAAAAGACAUGGAGAUGAACAGUGUACAGUACAUUGACUUAUCACUGAACAUACUACACAGAGAUGAAAUAUUCUGUAGUAAUCCAACAGCCUGUUAAGGGUUAUAAAGUGUUUUUUAAAAUGCGUUUUGCUUGAUGUAAUUCUGAUGCUGACUAAGGUAUAUGACCUAGACUAGAAGUCCAGGUAAACCACACUAGUAGUUCAUACCAAACUUUUUGAUGGUUCCAGAAUGGGUUUUGUCCUGCUGUUAUUGCACAAUGUAAUUAAAGGAAUUUAUGUUUGGUGAUCUAUAACAUUUUACUCCUAAAUUUUGUGAACACCUUUCCGAGAAAGGUUGUCAUUGAUCUAGACCAUUCUAGACUGUUCUACUAGUGUGUUUUUUGUAACAAUGAUUUCAGAUCUUGACAGUUGUCAUGGUAAUGGAAAAACAGUAGCAAUUUGUUGUUGAUAUUUUGUUAGUUUUUAUUUGUUAAUUUUUUAAAAAAUAAAAUGUUAUUUAUUUCUAUACAUCAAGGACCUUGAGACUAAUAAACAAAUUAUCAUUGUU